RNAcentral lists this transfer RNA (53 nucleotides) under Millerozyma farinosa. RNAcentral describes it as "partial transfer RNA". Lineage: Eukaryota; Fungi; Ascomycota; Pichiomycetes; Serinales; Debaryomycetaceae. The record is from RNAcentral.
GAAUCKAACCUGGGUUUCUUCGGCCACAACGAAGUGUACUAACCACUAUACUA